AAUAACGCCGAUUCGACGACUAAACCUCGCCAGAGACACCCAGAGUUAGUGAUAUGAGGAGAUAUAGGCCAAAAACAGCCGGAUUCAUUAUCUUCCAGUGGAUCCUCCAGUGGAUUGGAUUUUUUACAUAGAAAUCGUAUCGAUUUUCUUUGGAGAGGAGGAAAGUCGAAAAAAAUGAAAGAAGGUAGAGGAAGA
RNA transcript from Arabidopsis thaliana (thale cress), 195 nucleotides. RefSeq lists it as uncharacterized. NCBI's taxonomy places the organism in Eukaryota, Viridiplantae, Streptophyta, Magnoliopsida, Brassicales, Brassicaceae. The record is from RefSeq. The transcript has a single exon.